GUGCGUGUUCUGCACUCUCAGCAGAUAGGAAGGACUGAGUCCAAGCAGGUGUAUUAAUAGAAGCUGGGCUCUAGAGGCUAGGGUGGUUUAUCAUAUGCCUCUAAACCCUGGAAACAACAGGAAUCUCAUGCAGGGGAAGCAACAGGAGAGAUACGAUUGAGCCAGUCAAUAUCUGAAAACACAAAACAGUCGAUCCUGGACGUGAGGGACAGACUGGGGGACUUACACCAGAAGGGGGUCGGGCAGAGGCACAGAUCAAGAGAGCUUGGAUCAGCAAGUGGUUGGAAUCAGAGAAAUCGAUCUCAAACCACCACGACCCUGCAGGCCCCCAGGGGAUCCCCGCAGGAAAGAAAAGGCUCUCCACUGGAGACAGAGCUUUUCAAGAGCAAAGCAGAGGGCCAGUGGAACAGCUCAUUGGCCACAGAAAGGAAUCUUCAAGCUCCCCAUUUCUGGGACCAAAAGUGAGUGCUCAAGCAAAACCAAGGGAGACCAGACAGACGUACCCAAUACUUUGAAGGCCUCUCAGCAAAGAAAGUCCUUGCAGGAGGCGCCAGGAUUCCUAGUACCCAGGCACCGGACCUUCGCAUGCUGGGGAGUUUAAACUUAGCUAUCUAACUGAUGGCUCCAAAGACUGUGGAGGUCAGUAUCUGUUACCACCGCUCAUCAGAUGUAUAUAUGUUAUAUACUGGAUAUGCUGUCCUCCUGGAAGUGUGCUGUCCCACCUAAUUUUUGGUCCUCUAUAUACAUUGCUACAUUCAGGCCUAGUAACAAGUGCUUUAUGUUGUUUGCAAGCUGAGAUCCCCAGACCAUCAGCUUUCAAAUGAGAUUUGAUAUAACACUUCCUUCCACCUCUAGCUGGUCAGGAGGCAUUAACCUUGGAAGUCACAUCAUUCUGAUUACCCUCCUGCUCCUCCCCACACUACUUAACUCCCAUAUGCUUUGACAGCCUUACCACAACAGCUAUUCCUUUACAUUGUCUCUAAGAGGUGAAGCCGGCAGUACAUUAGUAUGCAGAAGUGGGAAGUAGUGCACUGACUGUUAGCUCCAGAAGACUUCAAAUAUUAGCUGGUAAAGUCACGUAGGCAGCUUCACCACUAGAAUUCCCUGGAGCUAGAUCCAACUGUGCAGUGGGUCUGAUGUGCCCAACUGACAGCCUCUCUGUCCUGACAAGCCUGUCUUCUAAAGACACAAGAAGAUAAAACACAGACCAGGAAGUUUCAUAGUUUCAGGCCAAAAGGGACCAUUAGAUCAUCCAGUCAGACCUGGAGAGCACAAGCUAUUCAUUUCACCCAGAUACCUCAGUACUGAGCCCAGUGAUUUCAGUUAGACCAAAGCACUUCAGUCCUCAGGAGACCAAGAGAAACCAAAGUGCAAACUGAUUAGGUGAGCUAGUCCCAGCUGAUCCUAGCAGGCGAUCCAGCAUGAAGAGGAGUCUCCCAUCAGAAGGCUCGCAAGGGGGCUACAGAGCCAACUAAAGCUCAAGCACGCAUGCAUAACAACCUUUCCAGGGCUCAAUGGGCCAUCUCCCCUCCUACAGGCCUGACAAGCCACCCCACAUGCCCAGCUCUCACCCCCUCCCUGUGGCUCACAGCAGCAACAAGACUCUACUGGUACAAGAAACAGGACAUUCAGAAGAGAUGCACUAGUUUACACACACAC
Gopherus flavomarginatus (Mexican gopher tortoise) is the source of this 1659-nucleotide long non-coding RNA. RefSeq lists it as uncharacterized. The record is from RefSeq and is a predicted model, not a curated record. The transcript is spliced from 3 exons. Lineage: Eukaryota; Metazoa; Chordata; Testudines; Testudinidae.